UUCAAAUUUCUGCCCUAUCACUUUCGAUGGUAGAGUAGUGGUCUACCAAUGGUUUCAACGGGUACGGGAAUUAGGGUUCUAUUCCGGAAAGGGAGCCUGAGAAACGGUUACCACAUCCAAGGAAGGCAGCAGGCGCGCAAAUUACCCAAUCCCGACACGGGGAGGUAGUGACAAUAAAUACUUGAUACAGGGCUCUUUUGGGUCUUGUAAUUUGGAAUGAGUACAAUUUAAAUCCCUUAACGAGGAACAAUUGGAGGGCAAGUCUGGUGCCAGCAGCCCGGGUAAUUCCAGCUCCAAUAGCGUAUAUUAAAGUUGUUGCAGUUAAAAAGCUCGUAGUUGAAC
This 342-nucleotide ribosomal RNA is filed under the name uncultured fungus. RNAcentral describes it as "SSU rRNA". It matches the Rfam family "Eukaryotic small subunit ribosomal RNA", at positions 298 to 639 of the family's 1831-position model. The record is from RNAcentral. Lineage: Eukaryota; Fungi.